Molecule: ribosomal RNA, 661 nt
Filed under: Drosophila immigrans
Lineage: Eukaryota; Metazoa; Arthropoda; Insecta; Diptera; Drosophilidae
Also listed under: 1 other name
Description: eukaryotic LSU rRNA
Rfam family: Eukaryotic large subunit ribosomal RNA
Source: RNAcentral
GAAAUCAGUUCAGCACUAAGUCACUUUGUCUAUAUGGCAAAUGUGAGAUGCAGUGUAUGGAACGUCAAUAUUCUAGUAUGAGAAAUUAACGAUUUAAGUCCUUCUUAAAUGAGGCCAUUUACCCAUAGAGGGUGCCAGGCCCGUAUAACGUUAAUGAUUAUUAGAUGAUGUUUCCAAAGAGUCGUGUUGCUUGAUAGUGCAGCACUAAGUGGGUGGUAAACUCCAUCUAAAACUAAAUAUAACCAUGAGACCGAUAGUAAACAAGUACCGUGAGGGAAAGUUGAAAAGAACUCUGAAUAGAGAGUUAAAUAGUACGUGAAACUGCUUAGAGGUUAAGCCCGAUGAACCUGAAUAUCCGUUAUGGAAAAUUCAUCAUUAGAAUUGUAAUAUUUAAUCAAUAUUAUAACGAUAGUGUGCAUUUUUUCCAUAUAAGGACAUUGUAAUCUAUUAGCAUGUAUGGAAUUUAUCAAACAAUUUUGAUAAGAGUUUAUUUAAAUUAAAGUGCUUGCAUUUUAACACAAAAUAAAUUUCAAAAAUUUGAUAAAGUGCUGAUAGAUUUAUAUGAGUACAGUGCGUUAAUUUUUCGGAAUUAUAUAAUGGCAUGAUUAUCAUUGAUUUUUGUGUUUAUUAUAAGCACUUGUAUGAUUAACAAUGCGAAAGA